UACGGAGGGUGCAAGCGUUGCUCGGAAUUAUUGGGCGUAAAGGGUAGGUAGGUGGUCUUAUUUGUCUGGGGUGAAAGCCUUGAGCUUAACUCAAGAAGUGCCCCAGAAACGGUAAGACUAGAGUCCUGGAGAGGGUCGUGGAAUUCCCGGUGUAGCGGUGAAAUGCGUAGAGAUCGGGAGGAACACCAGAGGCGAAGGCAGUGUCCUGGGGAGUACCUGACGCUCAGGUGCGAAAGCCAGGGGAGCGAACGGG
Molecule: ribosomal RNA, 253 nt
Filed under: uncultured bacterium
Lineage: Bacteria
Description: partial 16S ribosomal RNA
Rfam family: Bacterial small subunit ribosomal RNA
Source: RNAcentral